RNAcentral lists this ribosomal RNA (207 nucleotides) under uncultured bacterium. RNAcentral describes it as "partial 16S ribosomal RNA". It matches the Rfam family "Bacterial small subunit ribosomal RNA", at positions 1294 to 1500 of the family's 1533-position model. The record is from RNAcentral.
CGGAUUGUAGUCUGCAACCCGACUACAUGAAGCUGGAAUCGCUAGUAAUCGCGAAUCAGAAUGUCGCGGUGAAUACGUUCCCGGGUCUUGUACACACCGCCCGUCACACCAUGGGAGUCGGAAAUGCCCGAAGUCAGUGACCCAACCGUAAGGAGGGAGCUGCCGAAGGUGGAGCCGGUAACUGGGGUGAAGUCGUAACAAGGUAGC